Molecule: non-coding RNA, 712 nt
Organism: Punica granatum (pomegranate)
Lineage: Eukaryota; Viridiplantae; Streptophyta; Magnoliopsida; Myrtales; Lythraceae
Source: RefSeq, a predicted model, not a curated record
AUAAAGAGAUUCGAGCUCAAUUGAAGACCACCACGUGGACGGCUGCUAUUGGUGUCUCCUCUAUAUAUACCAACCGUUACCCAGCCUGGGAGUUUGCCCUCAACACAUAUAUAUCUAUUCCACAUAGAAAGAGGGGGAGGAGGAGGAGGAGGAGGAAGAAGAAGAAGAAAAUCAGAGCAGAGCAUAGAGGUUGAAGAUGGCGGGUGAGGGCACAGCCAAUUGCAUAGACAUCAUCUUGGCCAUUAUUCUGCCCCCUCUGGGUGUCUUCCUCAAGUUCGGCUGCAAGAUAGAGUUUUGGAUCUGUUUACUGCUGACGAUCUUUGGUUACCUCCCCGGAAUCAUAUACGCCGUCUGGGUUAUUACUAAGUAACCGAUGAUCUCGCACUCCCCCGUCCGUGUUGUCUACAUAAAAUAAUUGUGGUGAGAAGAUUUGGAGGGAUGAAUGAAGGCCGUCUGAUCGUGUGGGCCCUAAUGUUCCCGAUCGUUUGAUUGAUGUGAUUUGAGGUUAGGUGGGGUGAUUUGUUUUGCCAGUGGCCAAGUACUGUAUGCGUCAGUAUAAAAGUUAUGGGUGUCAUUAAUUAUUAUUUUCUGUUUUUCUUUUUUGCCUUUUCUCCCCUCCAAAUUUCAGUGUUCAUUAUUUAGUAAUUAAGUUGGUUUAAUUCUCUGUAUUUCCCAUCUUCGUACAUAAAACAAUUAACUGAUGUUUGGGUAA